This is a long non-coding RNA of Ostrea edulis (European flat oyster), 716 nucleotides long. RefSeq lists it as uncharacterized. The transcript has 3 exons. NCBI's taxonomy places the organism in Eukaryota, Metazoa, Mollusca, Bivalvia, Ostreida, Ostreidae. The record is from RefSeq and is a predicted model, not a curated record.
AUUUCAGUCACCUAAAGCGAUCCAGAAUUACAGCACGGUUUCUUUGGCUCAAAGAAGACGACUGAAAGCUGCCUCACCAAGACACUAGACAUCGGAUCAUCUGUAUCCGUAAUCGCAGACGCAUGGCAUCUGUUCAGAUGUUGACCAUGAAGAGGUUGUGGCGGAACAGAUGGUGAGAUCCACUAAUAACUGGAGACAUGGGAGAAGAGUUGUUGAAUUAAGGGUGUUGGCAUAUGCUCUAAAGGCCCGUCUAAACUGGGACAUGCCAUUUCAGUUCACUCAUGCUGUAGAUAUCCAGACUUAUGGACUGUCGACUAUCAUUAAGGUUUUGAAUAUGAUGUCUCCAGUAUGGAUAUGUUUGACGAUUGUUACCAUGAAAAUGAACUCACGGACCAACAUGUAUGUCAAAACAGUUGGGGUAUUUUUUUUGGUAAAAUAAGUAUAAUGGUACCCAUUUCACUCAAUUUUAGAAUUUUUUAAUUAUUCUGAUGUCAGUCAUACGCUACCAUUUUUUUUUACAGGUUUUUGAACAUGAUGUCUCCAGCAAGGAUAUGUUUGAUGAUGGUUACCAUGGAAACGAACUCACGGACCUCUAUCAAAAAUAUCUUUUUCUGAUAAAAUAAAUAUAAUGCUAUCCAUUUCAAUUUUAUUUUUUAAUUAUUCUGAUGUCAGUCAUACACUUCCGGAUUCUCUACAGGUUUUGAAUAUGAUGUCUC